This is a long non-coding RNA of Suricata suricatta (meerkat), 818 nucleotides long. RefSeq lists it as uncharacterized. The record is from RefSeq and is a predicted model, not a curated record. Lineage: Eukaryota; Metazoa; Chordata; Mammalia; Carnivora; Herpestidae. The transcript has 3 exons.
UUCUGGCAGAUUCUCCUCUUACUUGGCUUGUGAAUAAGUUCUGUUAAGACUCAUUUGCAGUGAACUGAGAUGGAGUCUGCUGGAAGGAAAUGCGUCAGUUUAUGCAAUAGCUCUGGCAUGUCAGAAGUACGGUGGCAAAAGAUUAUAGAGUUGGUCAGUUGUUGAAGAAAAUGACAGGUUCAGAUGAGCCAACCGUCAGCUCAGAACACAGUGUGAAAGCCAGAAGGCUUCGAAGGCAGCCUUUUUAAAACCCUCAUCUACUGCAGCUGGAGGGCCAAUCAUGAACAAAACCUGGUGUUGGACUGGAUCGUCAGGGUGUUGUGAGAGCUGGAUUAUUAGCAUACUAUUGUGAGACAGGGACCAUGCGAACAAGUUCAAAGUGAAAAACAUUGUGCAGCCAGGCUGCCUUCUAUUGGCUGUUACUGUUAGACGACUCGUACAGAAAACCAGAAUGUGGUCAGGGGAUGGACUGAUACACUGCCCGGCUUAAUAUAGAAGACCACGGCUCCAAAAAGCACCAAUGAGCUGCCUGAGUUACCUGUGCCACUAUUGACCAAUCAGGAUUAGGCUCUUCCAACCAAUCAGUAUUAGGCUUUUCCAACCAAUCAGGAUGAAGCACUUUUUUUUCUUUUUGUAUUAGCAUAUCGGACCUGAGUGGGAACAAGAGAAGGUACUUCCCUAUAUAAGUCUUCAAGCUGGGACAUCAGUCUUCUGCCUUCAGACUCAACUUGAACUAGAACUAUACCCUUGGCUCUCCUGGGUCGCCUGCUUGCCAACUGCAGACCUUGGGAUUUCUCAGCUUCCAUACUCCUGUGGGC